RNAcentral lists this ribosomal RNA (423 nucleotides) under uncultured bacterium. RNAcentral's name for it is "bacterial SSU rRNA". It matches the Rfam family "Bacterial small subunit ribosomal RNA", at positions 355 to 776 of the family's 1533-position model. The record is from RNAcentral.
UGGGGGAUAUUGCACAAUGGGGGGAACCCUGAUGCAGCGACGCCGCGUGAGUGAAGGAGCGCCUCGGCGCGUAAAGCUCUGUCGGCAGGGAAGAAAAGCUGUCCUAGGGGCCAGCCAGACGGUACCUGAGGAAGAAGCCCCGGCUAACUACGUGCCAGCAGACGCGGUAAUACGUAGGGGGCAAGCGUUAUCCGGAUUUACUGGGUGUAAAGGGAGCGUAGACGGCAAGGCAAGCCUGGAGUGAAAGGCGGGGGCCCAACCCCCGGACUGCUCUGGGAACCGCCUGGCUGGAGUGCAGGAGGGGUAAGCGGAAUUCCUAGUGUAGCGGUGAAAUGCGUAGAUAUUAGGAGGAACACCGGUGGCGAAGGCGGCUUACUGGACUGUGACUGACGUUGAGGCUCGAAAGCGUGGGGAGCGAACAGG